This 1419-nucleotide ribosomal RNA is filed under the name Klebsiella pneumoniae. RNAcentral's name for it is "bacterial LSU rRNA". It matches the Rfam family "Bacterial large subunit ribosomal RNA", at positions 1531 to 2925 of the family's 2925-position model. The record is from RNAcentral. Lineage: Bacteria; Pseudomonadati; Pseudomonadota; Gammaproteobacteria; Enterobacterales; Enterobacteriaceae.
UCCAGGCAAAUCCGGAUAAUCAAGGCUGAGGUGUGAUGACGAGGCACUACGGUGCUGAAGUAACAAAUGCCCUGCUUCCAGGAAAAGCCUCUAAGCAUCAGGUAACAUUAAAUCGUACCCCAAACCGACACAGGUGGUCAGGUAGAGAAUACCAAGGCGCUUGAGAGAACUCGGGUGAAGGAACUAGGCAAAAUGGUGCCGUAACUUCGGGAGAAGGCACGCUGGUGUGUAGGUGAAGUCCCUGCGGAUGGAGCUGAGACCAGUCGAAGAUACCAGCUGGCUGCAACUGUUUAUUAAAAACACAGCACUGUGCAAACACGAAAGUGGACGUAUACGGUGUGACGCCUGCCCGGUGCCGGAAGGUUAAUUGAUGGGGUUAUCCGUAAGGAGAAGCUCUUGAUCGAAGCCCCGGUAAACGGCGGCCGUAACUAUAACGGUCCUAAGGUAGCGAAAUUCCUUGUCGGGUAAGUUCCGACCUGCACGAAUGGCGUAAUGAUGGCCAGGCUGUCUCCACCCGAGACUCAGUGAAAUUGAACUCGCUGUGAAGAUGCAGUGUACCCGCGGCAAGACGGAAAGACCCCGUGAACCUUUACUAUAGCUUGACACUGAACAUUGAGCCUUGAUGUGUAGGAUAGGUGGGAGGCUUUGAAGCGUGGACGCCAGUCUGCGUGGAGCCAACCUUGAAAUACCACCCUUUAAUGUUUGAUGUUCUAACGUUGGCCCCUUAUCGGGGUUGCGGACAGUGUCUGGUGGGUAGUUUGACUGGGGCGGUCUCCUCCCAAAGCGUAACGGAGGAGCACGAAGGUUAGCUAAUCCUGGUCGGACAUCAGGAGGUUAGUGCAAUGGCAUAAGCUAGCUUGACUGCGAGCGUGACGGCGCGAGCAGGUGCGAAAGCAGGUCAUAGUGAUCCGGUGGUUCUGAAUGGAAGGGCCAUCGCUCAACGGAUAAAAGGUACUCCGGGGAUAACAGGCUGAUACCGCCCAAGAGUUCAUAUCGACGGCGGUGUUUGGCACCUCGAUGUCGGCUCAUCACAUCCUGGGGCUGAAGUAGGUCCCAAGGGUAUGGCUGUUCGCCAUUUAAAGUGGUACGCGAGCUGGGUUUAGAACGUCGUGAGACAGUUCGGUCCCUAUCUGCCGUGGGCGCUGGAGAAUUGAGGGGGGCUGCUCCUAGUACGAGAGGACCGGAGUGGACGCAUCACUGGUGUUCGGGUUGUCAUGCCAAUGGCACUGCCCGGUAGCUAAAUGCGGAAGAGAUAAGUGCUGAAAGCAUCUAAGCACGAAACUUGCCCCGAGAUGAGUUCUCCCUGAGACUUUAAGUCUCCUGAAGGAACGUUAAAGACGAUGACGUUGAUAGGCCGGGUGUGUAAGCGCAGCGAUGCGUUGAGCUAACCGGUACUAAUGAACCGUGAGGCUUAACCUU